CAAAACCGUUUUCCUUUUCAUUUCUCCUUUCUUUUGCUUCUUGAGCCGAGAGUCCUUCAGAAACAACCUCUCUACCUCCACGAGGUAGGGGUAAGGUCUGCCGUCUGCGUACACUCUAUCCUCCCUAGACCCCACUUUGUGGGAUUUUUGUGCUUGGAUUUAAAACCCUAUAGAAUAUGAGAUUGUUCAUGGAGGAAAUUUGAUUUUGAAAGUUAUCCAAUUUGCUCAGUUCAGUUUUUUCAGUAACUUAUUAUUUUGGUUGAGCAGUUGAACCUUGAUCCAUUUGGUUUGUGAUUCAAUUUCUUUGGUUCAACCAUUGUCAUUGUUGUUUAACUAAGCUUUGGCUUGGUCAUGUAAUCUCAGGUUCUUCCCCUAGUCCAGAUAAUUGAGUGUUCAAACGACAGCAAUUUAAGUAGUGAAGUUGCAAAAGAUAGAGAUGGUCUCCUAGCUCAUGUGAACGAGAGCUCACUUCCUAAAGCCCCUUGGGAGGAAGGACUUUGUAAAGUAUGUAGCAUGGAUAAAGAUGACGUCAAUGUUCUUCUUUGUGAUAAAUGCGAUUCGGAGUACCAUACGUAUUGCCUAGAUCCUCCGCUUGUUAAAGUUCCUAUUGGGCCGUGGUAUUGCCCAGAUUGUGAAGCUAAGAUAUCACGUUCCCAGAAUGCUUCUUCUGGUUCUCAUACUAUUCGUCAAUGCGUUAAGAGGAGGUUGCACAGAAAACUAACUCACAAGUUUAUGGAAAAACUUUCUCAAUUAACAAGGACCAUGGAGUUGAAGGAAUAUUGGGAGCUUCCACUGGAGGAUGUGAGUUCUUUUAACUUUCUUCUGUGUUUUUAUGUUGACAUAGUCUAUGUUAGCCUGUUUGCUCUUGGAAGAUGUAUGGAAUAGUAUUGUUUCUUGAUCCUUGAAAGAAGUAUCUGUCUCACUUGUCUUCCUUUUGGUUUCUGAAACGUCUUCCAAGUUUAAUUGACUUGUUGAUUAUAUUGGUAAUGGUGGGAACUUUUCUUAAAGUAAUUACUGGAGUUUGUCUCCAAUUGUCUUUAGAUAGUUGAAAUGUCGCACAUUAAACUUGUAUAACAUGAGAAAUAUGCAUGGGAUUAUCAAACAAGUGUUUAAGGAUUUGUAGACAUUUGAAAUUAACAUGUCAUAGAAAAGGUAUGGAGUUGUCUACAUAAGUCCAGUCUACUCUGAAGCUUGCACACUUAUCAUGCUUUCACUGCUUGACUUGAAUGUGUAGCAGGCUGACAGUAGGCUUCAUCUAAAAGAUAUUAGGCAUUAAAAUGUGUUUCUUGCUUUUGGGGAACAGUGUCUCUGGCACAAAGCAAGUUGAGCUAAUUUUUGCAAAGAUGUGAUGACGUCCAUUGAUGUGAUGGCAUCCAUUUGAGAGGUCUGAAGUGUAAUUACUGCAGGGUAAAAAUCUUGUCACACAAUGACCUCAAAAUAAUACAUUGGACAACUUUUAAGGCCUCCCUCAAAACAAUUUCAGGAACAUUGUUUCUCUGCUAUUCUAGUAUGCUCAAGCCUCUUCAUCUGAUGUAUGCUGGCACUCCUCAUGCAUUCAGCUUUAGGGUUUUGGGGGAGGGUGGGCUACUAUAGAAAUGAUACCCACAUUCCAGUUUUGUUCCCAGUUGCUUUAGUUUCUUCCUUAGCCUCUCCUGAUCUGCUUUGUCGACUGAGCUUUAUGCGGUAUAUGCAUGUUUUAAUAUUUCAAUUUAUGUGCAAUUCUUGUCUACAAAUUUAUCUGUAUGGUGAGAACUGUGCUGCAUGCAGAAAUAUGUUAAAUUCUAUGAUUUUGUUGUUGGACACAACAUAAAAGUAGAACAUGAAUUAUGUACAGCUUUUCCUAACCUAAUUUGACAUGUACAAUUUCUUUCUCAAUGGUGCAGAGAAUUUUCCUUCUUAAAUUCUUGUGUGAUGAGAUGUUGAAUUCAGCCAUUCUUCGUGAUCACAUUGACCGAAGCGCCUCUCUGUCUGCUGAAUUGCAGCAGAAACUGCGCAGCCUUGGUGCUGAACUGAAGCUUCUAAAGCAUAAGAAGGAAAUUUUGACUGCAAAACUGAAGAAUGAUGCUCGGAGCAGUGGAGACACAGGGUCAGACACAUCUCUAUGGUCCAAUGACUGUAAACUGAAGGUGCAGGGGCCUGACAGUGGCAGCCAUAACUCGUCAAUCUCUGGUGGUUGCAGACAGCUGGAUGAUGGCACUCAACACAAUAAGUGUAAUGAUUACAACAAGCAAUCCUGCUUGUACACUUCAAAAAACAUUCAGGAUAAAACUUGUGCAAGUGGCACCAAUCAUAUUAGAAACUCUCCUGAUCCAAUCAACCAUUUACAGCAUCAACAGUUGUUGAAGGAGAAUACUAGGUCUCUGAAUACUUCAUCCCAUGCAAAAUGUGGUACUGAAGAAGCUAAUUUGCAGAACGACUUGUUCAUAUCUACUACCCUCCAACAAGAAACUGACCAAAUUCCUGGCAAUUGUUUGGAGUCUACACCAAGUAGUUCGAAAAGUAUAAUGCUGUUUGCUACUCACAUUGUGUCUGCCACUACUUGUUCAGGUUCCGUUAGCAACCCUUUGGAGGAAGCAUUCCUUUUUGAGAUGUCUGCUAUAAAGAAGGAGAUUCGUGCUUUAGAGGACUCAAUUGCUGCCAAAGAAUUGGAACUUCAGGAGGUUUCUGUUAGGAAGGAAUACAUGGGACAGGAUUCUGAGGGCAGACUCUACUGGACUUUUGGCAGGUCCACUUCUUCACGAUUAGUAGCUUAUGCAAGUACAAGUACACAGCCGGAGUCAUCUGGACAUUUGUGGUCAUAUGGUGUGGAAAGUUCAAGACGAAGUGGUGUUUUUGAUUCAUCUGCUCCAUGGGAGAAUAUGGGCAUGCCUAAUCUUGAUCAGUGGACAUCUUAUCAAUCUGAUGUUGAUACUGAAAUACUCAUUAGAUGGCUAAAAGAGCAUGACCCGAGAGAGAGAGAAUUGAAGGAGUCUAUUUUGCAGUGGCGGGAUACUAGAAAAAUGAUAUACUACUAUUUGGAAAGUCAUGGCCAUGACAAGGUAAGACUGAUCACUUCAAUUCCCUCCGAGGAUUCUGCUUCCUGUUUCAAUUCUGAUUCUCUCGUCACCAGAGCCGUUACUGCAAUUAAAAAGAUGGUUAGUGGUUGCUCAGCAGAAGAGGAGACGGAAAUCUGCACGAAUCUUGGUGUCAAAGUGAGAGUUUCUUUUGAUGGUGAAUUAUACAGGUGUGAGUGUCUAGAACCAUUAUGGCCGUCUAGACCUCAUUGUCUUUCAUGCCACCAAACAUUUUCCGAUGCUAAGGAACGUCUGAAGCAUGCAAAUGAAAAGUGCAGGAUUGAUUCUCCCUCUCCCAUUCAGCGGGAUGGGGAAACAAGUGAACAACCCGCUAAGCGGAAAAGAACAGCAAAUAAUGAAAUUCUGCAGGAUAAUUCUUUGAGCAAUGACGUGUCUCAAGCUUCCAAGAGCAAGAAGCUUGGUAAUGGCGAAGCAUCUAGGAGGGACAAGCAUGGUAAUGCACCAGCUUCUGCUGAAAAUCAAACCAAACAGGAAUGUCCAUUUAAGUUUGAGGAGAUCAAAGCACAGUUCAUCACUCAGAGGUCACUCAAGGAGCUGGUGAACGAGAUAGGACUCAUUGGGUGUAAUGGUACACCAUCAUUUAUUCCAUGCACAUCUCCAUAUCUAUGUGAUUCUGCCCUUGAACUGCUCUCCCAAAGGGAAGAUGAGGUAUGUGGAGGAAAUUCUACAGAUUUGUUAUCUUCAGAGCACCAACUUCGGAAUGGGGUCAAAGUUUCUUGCAUUAAUAACUCCGACAAUCCAAAUUGUACUGGAAAUGGCUUAGCUGGGGCUGGACCAGUGUUUGGGAGACUAAAAUCUGCAACCAAGAGGGGAAGAAAUCAGUUUUCUUCUACCAAGGAUAAAAUCCUUGAAUUUGGGGUUAAUAUGUACUUUGUUAUUCCGGAAUCCUCGCUACAUCCUGUAGCAGGUCGGGCUUCUGUGAUUUUACGGUGUCUUAAAAUCAACCUGCUUGACAUAGAUGCGGCUUUACCUGAAGAAGCUUUGAGAGUGUCAAGGUUACAAUCAGAGAGAAGACGUGUAUGGCGUGCCUUCGUGAAAUCUGCAGCUACAAUUUAUGAGGUAAAGGUUUUGCUCUUUUUACUAGACUAAGCAAGGCCUUUUCGAGUUUAGUGGUUGUUGUAUCGUGAGAGACCUUAGGAGUCAUUUGGUUGGUUCGCUAGGGAGAUCUAAUUUCCACAUAAAAUCUUGAACUGACCAUAAAAUUCUGCAUUAGUAUUAUGUUUGGUUCCUACUUUUCUUUCCUUCUUCCUAAACAAUACCUGCAUAAGUUAUGCAGGAAUCUGUGUAUUAGUUUAUGCUGGACAAAAUGGAAUAAGUUUGAGGUAUUAGUAUUGCAUGGAUUGAAACAACAAAUGAUAAAACUAACCCUCGUAAUAGUAGAUAAAUUUUGAUUAGAAAGUAAACACACAUUGUUUACUAAACAGUAUAUACUAUUUCUUUAAUACAGUAAACCGAACGUCCAACAAGAAAUACAUCUUGCAUUACAAACCUUGCAUUACUAAUCCCUUCAUUGAUAUACUUUGCAUUAUUUGUCUUUAAACCACAUGACCCCUUAGUGUUCUGCGAUUUCCUGUUCUUGUCAAAGAUAUCGGCCUUCAGUUCCAACUCUCCGCUGGUUGAACUUGCUCAACGUUUUCAGGAAAAAAAAAAAGAGUUUGUGCAAUAGUAUUUGGAUGUUUUUUCCCAUCCUCCCCCCUCCCCAUGAAGGAUGCUCUUGUGUUCAAAUGUUUUCUUGAGUUGAGAGUCUUUUGAAAUUUAUGGUAGGCUUCUGCACUAGUUCAUGAGGAUGAUUUUGCAGCUGUGUGCAUUAUGCAUAUACAAUAUUUAUUUCAGAAUAUUCGGCAGAGUAAUACUCAACUCUAGCCCUACUGCCUUUCUUAGGCUAAGGGCUUUGGUUAAAUUGACUGACAAAGGUGGGAUGUGGGGUGUGUGGUAGGCAUGUCACUAGUUCAGAUUCUCUGGUACUUAAAGUAGAAGGGUGGAGAGGAGGGGGUAUAUUAUACACUGAAAUUCAAAGCAGAAUUUCUGUUUUCUUAUUUUGGUCCUAAAACUCUGAUACUUAAAUUUUGCUCAUUUAUCUCCUUCAGAUGGUCCAAGCCACAAUUAUUUUAGAGGACGCCAUCAAAACCGAAUACUUGAAAAACGAUUGGUGGUAUUGGUCAUCACCCUCUGCUGCAGCAAGAAUCUCAACGCUCUCAGCCCUCGCCCUCCGUGUGUAUGCAUUGGACUCUGCUAUUUUGUAUGAUAAACUUUCAAGUCAAGAUGCCUCAGAGACAGAUUGCAAGGAAGAGAGGGAACCUCCUCCUCGUAAUUCUGUCCCCACAAACACAGCCAGUCCUUCAAAGAAAAAGCCACUUGACCCAGAACCUGCUGAAAGUUCAAGACCCAAGGGCUGCAGGACAAGUAAAAGGAGAAAAGAUUCAGGCAACAGCUAAAACAGGAAACAGGCUUCAGGUUUGCAGAUCAUCAUUAUCUGCAGUUUUUUUAAAAGGAAUGUACUGUACUCUUAUGUAUACCAGCCAGGCCAAUGGUUGAAAUUCUUUAAGCAUAAAGGAAGGUUUGCAACAUGCUAUCCUAUAAACUUCAGGGAGCAGACUCUGCACCAACUCUAUCUAUUGUUUGGAGAAUCGAAAGACGCUGUUUUGCUCUUUGACUUGGUAGAAGUUAAUCGAUUUCUUCUUGCUUUGAGAAAAGGCAUGGGAGACUUUGUUCCAGCACAUAGCCUCUCUUUGAGUUUACAUACAACAAAAAGGCCUUUAUAUGCCGAUAAGAUUGUGGCAUUUGGGGUUUUAUGCUCUUGAGAGAUAUACAGAUUUGGUUAGGAGGCAGGCGUGUUAGUUUGAACAGUUGUUGUACAUAGUAAAGCAAGUUUGAACAGUUAGUGUCAUCUUAUGUAUAUAAGUUUUUAUAUAGACUAGCUUUGUUGUUCGUCAGAUUACCUUCCUGAUAAAUGAAAAGGCGGUACUACGUCUUCUGAUGUCGUACAAUCAGAAGACUUUAGUUUAAAUAACGUCCUCUGAAGGUCACGUUGUAUGCGUCUAGAUUUAGCUUGUUACCUGUGUGGCUACGUACGUUUGACAGGAAGGGUUUGUUACUAGCAGCAAAGUAGACAAUUUAACCUUAAAUUAUUGAUUACUUGUGCCCAAUUUUUUUAAAAAAAUUACUUAUCUGAUAGUGCUUCCUCUCAUGGCAAUUCAAUUGUAGACAAUAGUAAUAAGGUCUAUGUAUAUAUUACCUGCUCG
This 6316-nucleotide long non-coding RNA is filed under the name Solanum tuberosum (potato). Its description in RNAcentral is "long non-coding RNA (STUB_LNC005437)". The record is from RNAcentral. Lineage: Eukaryota; Viridiplantae; Streptophyta; Magnoliopsida; Solanales; Solanaceae.